CCCCGGCUCGGGUAACGUUUCUCUCCAGCCUUAGGCAGAGCCCAGAAGACCUGCCUUUACCAGAGUUCCAGAGAGAGAGAGAGGGAGGACAAGGGAUCCCGGGGCGUCCUUUGGCAGUCGAUUGCACCCUGCACUAGAGAGAAGUCCAGGAAUGAUAUAUUCUUGGGCUGUAUUUCUCUACCCUGGAAUUCAUCCAGUUCAUCCCAGAAACACUGACCUGGUUACUGUGACAAAGUCUGAUGGAUAGACCCUUUCUGUUGACCUUGUGGCGUUUUUCUUUCAUGUGGAAGUUGGAAGACAAGGUGAAAGGGGCCAAAAGUUACCUGCUUUGGUGAAUAGGAGUGCUCUACUUGGUUCUCAGAACAUGGGCCCUCGUUUAAAGGUAAGGUAACAGACUGAGUUAAGCU
Molecule: small RNA, 407 nt
Filed under: Pan troglodytes (chimpanzee)
Lineage: Eukaryota; Metazoa; Chordata; Mammalia; Primates; Hominidae
Description: processed transcript
Source: RNAcentral